UACGGAGGGUGCAAGCGUUAUCCGGAAUCACUGGGUUUAAAGGGUGCGUAGGCGGCGCAAUAAGUCAGAGGUGAAAGCCUGCAGCUCAACUGUAGAAUUGCCUUUGAUACUGCUGCGCUUGAAUCAGGUUGAGGUUGGCGGAAUGUGGCAUGUAGCGGUGAAAUGCAUAGAUAUGCCAUAGAACACCAAUUGCGAAGGCAGCUGACUGGGCCUGAAUUGACGCUGAGGCACGAAAGCGUGGGGAGCAAACAGG
Molecule: ribosomal RNA, 253 nt
Filed under: uncultured bacterium
Lineage: Bacteria
Description: partial 16S ribosomal RNA
Rfam family: Bacterial small subunit ribosomal RNA
Source: RNAcentral